ACCGCACAAGCGGUGGAUGGUGUGGUUUAAUUCGAUGCAACGCGAAAACCUUACCCACCUUUGACAUGGCAGGAAUCCCGAAGAGAUUUGGGAGUGCUCGAAAGAGAACCUGCACACAGGUGCUGCAUGGCUGUCGUCAGCUCGUGUCGUGAGAUGUUGGGUUAACGUCCCGCAACGAGCCGCAACCCUUGCCAUUAGUUGCUACGAAAGGGCACUCUAAUGGGACUGCCGGUGACAAACCGGAGGAAGGUGGGGAUGACGUCAAGUCCUCAUGGCCCUUAUAGGUGGGGCUACACACGUCAUACAAUGGCCGGUACAGAGGGUAGCCAACCCGCGAGGGGGAGCCAAUCCCACAAAGCCGGUCGUAGUCCGGAUCGCAGUCUGCAACUCGACUGCGUGAAGUCGGAAUCGCUAGUAAUCGCGGAUCAGCAUGUCGCGGUGAAUACGUUCCCGGGUCCU
This 459-nucleotide ribosomal RNA is filed under the name uncultured Allobrachymonas sp. RNAcentral's name for it is "bacterial SSU rRNA". It matches the Rfam family "Bacterial small subunit ribosomal RNA", at positions 921 to 1377 of the family's 1533-position model. Lineage: Bacteria; Pseudomonadati; Pseudomonadota; Betaproteobacteria; Burkholderiales; Comamonadaceae. The record is from RNAcentral.